Molecule: non-coding RNA, 651 nt
Organism: Dermacentor andersoni
Lineage: Eukaryota; Metazoa; Arthropoda; Arachnida; Ixodida; Ixodidae
Source: RefSeq, a predicted model, not a curated record
GUCGGACAGCCGCUGGAGGCCGUUGUGGCGCUGCCCCCUUACGCGCCACAUCGGCAAAGCUACUCUUAGACAGGACGGGCAGGCGCGCGAGCAUGCGGCGUGCUCGCCAUCACAGUUGGCACAGUGUGGAGUCUUCUGGCAUGUUUCGGAGGAAUGUUCAGUGUCACUACACUUGGCACAUGUCAGCCGGCCUCGACAGUUCUGUGAACUGUGGCCGAACCUUUGGCACUUAAAACAUCUGAGAGGAUUGGGCACGUACGGCCUAACACGAAGUUUGAUGUAACCGGCCUCGAUGGACUCGGGGAGGACACUUGAGCUGAAAGUUUCAGCUGAAUGUUAAACUAGGCGGAGUAUGAAUCGUGCCUGAAUGUACAUCGAGUCUGCAUGUCGAGCUUGGUGGAACAACCAACCAUUCCUGAAUGUCCAACAAGAGUAGUUUGACGUUUGACUAUGUAGCUGAAAUAAUGGGUCCUGGAAAGGGUCAAGAGCUAAAAGCUGUCUCGACAGCUUGACUAGGCCCAUGACCCUCUCUACAAGGCAGUAUUGGUGUACAGCAACAGGUAGUGUCCAUGACAUCAAGAAAUGGGAAGAACAAUGAAUUAUACAGUAGCAUAAGGGCAAUGAAUUAAUAAAUAUACAGCAUAUGAUUUC